RNAcentral lists this ribosomal RNA (1275 nucleotides) under uncultured prokaryote. Its description in RNAcentral is "partial 16S ribosomal RNA". It matches the Rfam family "Bacterial small subunit ribosomal RNA", at positions 25 to 1311 of the family's 1533-position model. The record is from RNAcentral.
CAGGACGAACGUUGGCGGUGCGCUUAAUGCAUGCAAGUCGAACGAGAACUGGUUCAACCGUAAGGUUGUUCCAGGGACAGUGGCGAACGGGUGCGUAACACGUGAGAAACCUGCCCUGGAGAUCGGGAUAGCCCGAGGAAACUCGGAUUAAUACCGGAUACCUUCACCGAGUCGCAUGGCUCUAUGAAGAAAUGGUCCGCCGCUCCAGGAUGGUCUCGCGGCCUAUCAGCUUGUUGGUGAGGUAACGGCUCACCAAGGCAGCGACGGGUAGCUGGUCUGAGAGGACGAUCAGCCACACUGGGACUGAGACACGGCCCAGACUCCUACGGGAGGCAGCAGCAGGGAAUAUUGCACAAUGGGCGCAAGCCUGAUGCAGCGACGCCGCGUGCGGGAUGAAGGCCUUCGGGUUGUAAACCGCUUUCAGGAGGGACGAAAAUGACGGUACCUCCAGAAGAAGGCCCGGCCAACUACGUGCCAGCAGCCGCGGUAACACGUAGGGGCCAAACGUUGUCCGGAUUUAUUGGGCGUAAAGGGCUCGUAGGCGGUUCAACAAGUCGAUCGUGAAAACCCGGGGCUCAACCCCGGGACGCCGGUCGAAACUGUUGUGACUAGGGUCCGGUAGAGGAGAAUGGAAUUCCCGGUGUAGCGGUGAAAUGCGCAGAUAUCGGGAGGAACACCAGUAGCGAAGGCGGUUCUCUGGGCCGGCACUGACGCUGAGGAGCGAAAGCGUGGGUAGCAAACAGGAUUAGAUACCCUGGUAGUCCACGCCGUAAACGUUGGAUACUAGGUGUGGGGUUCCGACCAACGGUCCCCGUGCCGAAGCUAACGCAUUAAGUAUCCCGCCUGGGGAGUACGGCCGCAAGGCUAAAACUCAAAGGAAUUGACGGGUCCCCGCACAAGCGGCGGAGCAUGCGGCUUAAUUCGAUGCAACCCGAAGAACCUUACCUGGGUUUGACAUCACGGGAAAAGCUGUAGAAAUACAGUGUCCUUUUUGGCCCGUGACAGGUGGUGCAUGGCUGUCGUCAGCUCGUGUCGUGAAAAUGUUUGGGUUAAGUCCCGCAACGAGCGCAACCCUUAUCCUAUGUUGCCAGCGGUUCGGCCGGGGACUCAUAGGAGACUGCGGGGAUAACUCGGAGGAAGGUGAGGACGACGUCAAGUCAUCAUGCCCCUUAUAUCCAGGGCUGCACGCAUGCUACAAUGGCCAGUACAACGGGCUGCGACCUCGUGAGAGUGAGCGAAUCCUUAAGCAGGCCCAGUUCGGAUUGAAUCUGCACU